RNAcentral lists this ribosomal RNA (250 nucleotides) under uncultured bacterium. RNAcentral's name for it is "partial 16S ribosomal RNA". It matches the Rfam family "Bacterial small subunit ribosomal RNA", at positions 524 to 773 of the family's 1533-position model. The record is from RNAcentral.
UACAUGUGGGGCAAGCGUUGUUCGGAAUUACUGGGCAUAAAGGGUGCGUAGGCGGUUUGUUAAGUCACUGGUGAAAGUUUUCGGCCCAACCGGAAAAUUGCCUGUGAUACUGGCGAACUCGAGUGCGUGAGGGGUGGGGGGAACGAGCAGUGUAGCGGUGAAAUGCGUAGAUAUUGCUCGGAAGGCCGGAGCCGAAGGGGCCCCACUGGUACGUAACUGACGCUGAGGCACGAAAGCGUGGGGAGCAAAC